GAUGAAGAACGUAGCGAAAUGCGAUAAGUAAUGUGAAUUGCAGAAUUCAGUGAAUCAUCGAAUCUUUGAACGCACAUUGCGCCCGCCAGUAUUCUGGCGGGCAUGCCUGUUCGAGCGUCAUUUCAACCAUCAAGCCCCCGGCUUGUGUUGGGGACCUGCGGCUGCCGCAGGCCCUGAAAAGCAGUGGCGGGCUCGCUGUCACACCGAGCGUAGUAGAUUUCAUCUCGCUCAGGGCGUGCUGCGGGUUCCGGCCGUUAAACCACCUUCAUAACCCAAGGUUGACCUCGGAUCAGGUAGGAAGACCCGCUGAACUUAAGCAUAUCAAUAAGGGAGGA
This 335-nucleotide unclassified non-coding RNA is filed under the name soil metagenome. RNAcentral describes it as "partial contains 5.8S ribosomal RNA, internal transcribed spacer 2, and large subunit ribosomal RNA". The stretch from base 1 to 120 matches the Rfam family "5.8S ribosomal RNA", at positions 35 to 154 of the family's 154-position model. The record is from RNAcentral.